CAUAGCUAGGGAUUUUAUCCCUUGAAAUCUUGUUCCAAAAAUUAUCUCUUCUAGUAUUCCAAGCAAGUUGAAGGCUCUAAUCAACAUAGAGGGAUUGUUGGGACAAGAAGACUAUUCAUUCUUGCAAGGCACAAUUCUAGCCAAGUUGAAGAACUAAGUGGAAAAGAUUUUGGGAAGGCCAAGAGUUAAGUGGAAUUGACUAAGGAAGCAGACAAGAUAUGUAGGCAGGCAGACGAGUUUGGUCCUUAGGAACUCCACCAGCAGUACACCGAGAGCGCUCCAGUUGUUUCGGAACUUCAAUUUAUCGGUACUACUUUUGUGUAUAUAUUUGGGCACGACAGAAACCGCCCUCUUUGUGGUCAUAUGUAUCUUGUUUAGAGGCUCGUAGACAGAUAUGUACAGUUAUAUGUUUUGCACCUUUG
Molecule: long non-coding RNA, 422 nt
Organism: Solanum dulcamara
Lineage: Eukaryota; Viridiplantae; Streptophyta; Magnoliopsida; Solanales; Solanaceae
Exons: 3
Source: RefSeq, a predicted model, not a curated record